This 497-nucleotide ribosomal RNA is filed under the name uncultured bacterium. Its description in RNAcentral is "partial 16S ribosomal RNA". It matches the Rfam family "Bacterial small subunit ribosomal RNA", at positions 28 to 507 of the family's 1533-position model. The record is from RNAcentral.
GAUGAACGCUGGCGGCGUGCCUAAUACAUGCAAGUCGAGCGAACAGAUGAGGAGCUUGCUCCUCUGACGUUAGCGGCGGACGGGUGAGUAACACGUGGAUAACCUACCUAUAAGACUGGGAUAACUACGGGAAACCGGAGCUAAUACCGGAUAAUAUAUUGAACCGCAUGGUUCAAUAGUGAAAGUCGGUUUUGCUGUCACUUAUAGAUGGAUCCGCGCCGCAUUAGCUAGUUGGUAAGGUAACGGCUUACCAAGGCAACGAUGCGUAGCCGACCGGAGAGGGUGAGCGGCCACACGGGAACUGAGACACGGUCCAGACUCCUACGGGAGGCAGCAGUAGGGAAUCUUCCGCAAUGGGCGAAAGCCUGACGGAGCAACGCCGCGUGAGGGAUGAAGGUCUUCUGAUCGUAAAACUCUGUUAUGAGGGAAGAACAAAUGUGUAAGUAACUAUGCACGUCUUGACGGUACCUAAUCAGAAAGCCACGGCUAACUACGUG